RNAcentral lists this non-coding RNA (995 nucleotides) under Pan troglodytes (chimpanzee). The record is from RNAcentral. Lineage: Eukaryota; Metazoa; Chordata; Mammalia; Primates; Hominidae.
AGACAGAAAGAACCUACACAUCAGCCAACUCCAGCUACGCGCUACAGAGGAGAAGCUGUCUCAAGUUUAGAAAUACAGGAAAGCUGACUGACUAGGAAGAGAUUAAAAACUCGCAUCUUCAAACACAGCCUUACAGAAAUUGACCUUUAUUUGUUGUACUAAAGCCUGUUUAACUUUUGAUACAAAGUAACAUUUUAGUACAGAAAAUCCCAGUCUGUCAGCUCAGUACCUGUCUGUGCACACUGUACCAUCUCAGUCCCACUCUGCCUGUAACUUAGAAAACAGCCCCUACCCCCAGAGGGUCUGCGAGUUAAUACCUUGAGAAUAGUCUACAGUUUUUCAUAGUUUGUCUGAGCUAGAAAACUUGUACCUGUAAAACAAAGGACAGCAUUGAGGACUGAAACUUGUCUCUUUUUUGAACAACUGUGCAAGAAAAUAUAUCCCUUUUUAAAAAACAUCAGUUAUGGCUAAACUACAAUCUAGUGUCUAGAAUUACAAAGAAUAAAAUGAAAUCAAAGAUUUCUCACUAGUAAAAUGAAAUGUUAGGAACAGUAUUAAAAUAUAGGUCCUACCCCAACGACACUUACACAGAGCCCAGUACAGUACCUAUUAUUAACAGGACGCACAGCUUAAGGAGGAACCACAUCAAAUCUUCAGCCAGACAUAUCUAGCCUCAGAAGUGCAAAAAAAAAAAAAAAAAAAAAGCCCCCAAACGAAGACACCCACAUUGAGUAGGGUGCAUGCCGUGAGUGCUGUAAUCAAGAUUAAAAAGACCUCAGUUUUUCUUUUUAGACUGUUGAUAGUGACAAUAACCAUUAUGCUUCCCCUAAAAGCUCUCAAUUCAAUGUCUGAAACAUGAAUGUUUUCAUAUCAAAAAGAACUGAUGUACCUGCCACCCUCUAAAAAGUUUAAGAAUUACCCUGCAAACAUUGCACUGAUGAAGGCUGUCACGACUUACAGAGCCUAAGGAGGACCCAAUGGCAGGCAUCAGCACA